CCUACGGGAGGCAGCAGUGAGGAAUAUUGGUCAAUGGACGCAAGUCUGAACCAGCCAUGCCGCGUGCAGGAAGACGGCUCUAUGAGUUGUAAACCGCUUUUGUACGAGGGUAAACGCAGAUACGCGUACCGGUCUGAAAGUAUCGUACGAAUAAGGAUCGGCUAACUCCGUGCCAGCAGCCGCGGGAAUACGGAGGAUUCAAGCGUUAUCCGGAUUUAUUGGGUUUAAAGGGUGCGUAGGCCGUCGGAUAAGGUAGAGGUGAAAUCCCGAGGCUCAACUUCGGACUUGCCUUUGAUACGGGGCGGCUAGAGAGUAGCUGCGGUAGGCGGAAUGUGUGGUGUAGCGGGGAAAUGCUUAGAGAUCAUACAGAACCCCGAUUGCGAAGGCAGCUUACCGAGCUACUUCUGACGUUGAGGCACGAAAGCGUGGGGAGCGAACAGGAUUAGAUACCCCUGUAGUC
This 460-nucleotide ribosomal RNA is filed under the name uncultured bacterium. RNAcentral's name for it is "partial 16S ribosomal RNA". It matches the Rfam family "Bacterial small subunit ribosomal RNA", at positions 338 to 795 of the family's 1533-position model. The record is from RNAcentral.